UGUGUGAGGUGAAGGUCCAAAACCUUCUGAGAGAAAAAGAAAGAAAAGAAAGAAAAUUGGGCGUAGGGUUUUCAGUGUGUUCCCUAGGGUUUCAGUCUGGGGUUCGAAAAGUGAGUUAGUGAGCUAAGAGUGUUGUGAGCCCACCAAAUUCAAGGGAGAGCAUCAUCUACCUCUCAGACACAUUUGCUGAUGAUUCAGAGCAUCCGAGGAGUCAGCAGACAUCGAUCGAAGGAGUUCGAUCAGUA
Molecule: long non-coding RNA, 245 nt
Filed under: Elaeis guineensis (African oil palm)
Lineage: Eukaryota; Viridiplantae; Streptophyta; Magnoliopsida; Arecales; Arecaceae
Description: long non-coding RNA (EGUI_LNC070400)
Source: RNAcentral